RNAcentral lists this ribosomal RNA (465 nucleotides) under uncultured bacterium. Its description in RNAcentral is "partial 16S ribosomal RNA". It matches the Rfam family "Bacterial small subunit ribosomal RNA", at positions 339 to 795 of the family's 1533-position model. The record is from RNAcentral.
CUACGGGUCGCUGCAGUGGGGAAUAUUGGACAACGGGGGAAACCCUGAUCCAGCAAUGCCGCGUGUGUGAAGAAGGCCUGCGGGUUGUAAAGCACUUUCGGUUGGGAGGACUGCUUCUAGCACUAAUAUUGUUGGAAGUUGACGUUACCUUCAGAAGAAGCACCGGCUAACUCCGUGCCAGCAGCCGCGGUAAUACGGAGGGUGCAAGCGUUAAUCGGAAUUACUGGGCGUAAAGCGCGCGUAGGCGGCUAGAUCAGUCGGGUGUGAAAGCCCCGGGCUUAACCUGGGAACUGCAUCCGAUACUGUCUAGCUUGAGGACAGGAGAGGAGAGUGGAAUUCCACAUGUAGCGGUGAAAUGCGUAGAUAUGUGGAGGAACACCAAUGGCGAAGGCAGCUCUCUGGCCUGAUACUGACGCUGAGGUGCGAAAACGUGGGGAGCAAACAGGAUUAGAUACCCUUGUAGUC